CAGGGCAGCCUUCACUCCCUGCUGACUCCUCUGGACAGGGCUGAGCGGGCUUUUGGCAGGAGAGCUGGUACCAACAAGUUUUGUCCCAUGGAGAACUGUGGUACUUCGACACUUAUUUGCCCCAGGGCAUCUGACAUGAAUCAGGAUGUAACUUAGGGGGGUUACUGAACUGUGUUAUUGAGGUGUUGAUGGCUCUCAGUUCUGCACCACAGCAGCUGAAGCUCUGUCGUAAGGGAUGGAUGACUAAAUGACAAGGCACAGAUGAUGUGCCUCCUGUGGAAGCAUCUAUGGAAGAUGUAAAUGGGAUCUCCUGGAGACCUAAAUGAGGCCUCUAAAGGUUAACCUGUGGGCAGGUGUAGGAUGCCAGGAG
This is a non-coding RNA of Zonotrichia albicollis (white-throated sparrow), 370 nucleotides long. The record is from RefSeq and is a predicted model, not a curated record. Lineage: Eukaryota; Metazoa; Chordata; Aves; Passeriformes; Passerellidae.